GGACCUGUAGCGCAGUGGUUGUCGCGCCCUCUGCUACCAGAGGGAGGACGCCGGUUCGAGUCCGGCCUGGUCCG
RNAcentral lists this transfer RNA (74 nucleotides) under Umezawaea tangerina. It matches the Rfam family "tRNA". Rfam says of the family: Transfer RNA (tRNA) molecules are approximately 80 nucleotides in length. Their secondary structure includes four short double-helical elements and three loops (D, anti-codon, and T loops). The record is from Rfam by way of RNAcentral. Lineage: Bacteria; Bacillati; Actinomycetota; Actinomycetes; Pseudonocardiales; Pseudonocardiaceae.